AAGAAGAGCAUCGCUUCUGGUGCUUUGGAAGCUCAAUAGGGAAGCCGGUGAGAAUCCGGCGCGGCCCCGCCACUGUGAUCGUGGAGGGCUGGCCAUAAUGCCACUGACCGCGUGGGCGUCGCUGAAAAGCGAAGGCGUAACGGUCGGGAAGGCGGCCAGCCUGAUGAAACGAGAGUCAGGAGACCUGCCAGAAGUGGGAUGAGUGA
RNAcentral lists this non-coding RNA (206 nucleotides) under Acidobacteriota bacterium. The record is from RNAcentral. Lineage: Bacteria; Pseudomonadati; Acidobacteriota.